CAUGCCGUAAACGAUGAUUACUAGGUGUGGGGGGUCUGACCCCUUCCGUGCCGGAGUUAACACAAUAAGUAAUCCACCUGGGAAGUACGACCGCAAGGUUGAAACUCAAAGGAAUUGACGGGGGCCCGCACAAGCAGUGGAGUAUGUGGUUUAAUUCGAAGCAACGCGAAGAACCUUACCAGGUCUUGACAUCCAACUAACGAAGCAGAGAUGCAUCAGGUGCCCUUCGGGGAAAGUUGAGACAGGUGG
Molecule: ribosomal RNA, 249 nt
Filed under: uncultured bacterium
Lineage: Bacteria
Description: partial 16S ribosomal RNA
Rfam family: Bacterial small subunit ribosomal RNA
Source: RNAcentral